UGGCGAACGGCGGAGUAAGACAUGAGGAACGUACCCUGAAGACCGGGAUAGUCAUUGGAAACGAUGGGUAAUACCGGAUGUGGCGGAGAUGUGGCAUCACAUUUCCAUUAAACGGUUUUUCGCUUCAGGAGCGCCUCAUGGCCUAUCAGGUAGUUGGUGGGGUAAUGGCCUACCAAGCCGACGACGGGUAGCGGGUCUGAGAGGAUGAUCCGCUCGAGUGGGACUGAGACACGGCCCACACACCUACGGGUGGCAGCAGUUGGGAAUCUUGCACAAUGGGGGAAACCCUGAUGCAGCGACGCCGCGUGGAGGAUGAAGGAUCUAGGUCUGUAAACUCCUUUUAUCGGGAAAGACUUAGGACGGUACCCGAUGAAUAAGCACCGGCUAACUACGUGCCAGCAGCCGCGGUGAGACGUAGGGUGCAAGCGUUGUCCGGAUUUACUGGGCGUAAAGAGCGCGUAGGCGGUCUGUUAAGUGUAGAGUGAAAGCUCCGGGCUCAACCUGGAAAUUGCUCUGCAUACUGGCAGACUUGAGGAAUGGAGAGGUUUGUGGAAUUCCUGGUGUAGCGGUGAAAUGCAUUGAUAUCAGGAGGAACACCGAUGGCGAAGGCAGCAAACUGGCCAUUAUCUGACGCUGAGGCGCG
RNAcentral lists this ribosomal RNA (643 nucleotides) under uncultured bacterium. Its description in RNAcentral is "bacterial SSU rRNA". It matches the Rfam family "Bacterial small subunit ribosomal RNA", at positions 96 to 755 of the family's 1533-position model. The record is from RNAcentral.